GAUGAACGCUGGCGGCGUGCUUAACACAUGCAAGUCGAACGGGAUCGGCUGGAGCUUGCUCCGGCCGUGAGAGUGGCGAACGGGUGAGUAAUGCGUGACCGACCUGCCCCAUACACCGGAAUAGCUCCUGGAAACGGGUGGUAAUGCCGGAUGCUCCAGUUGGAUGCAUGUCCUUCUGGGAAAGAUUCAUCGGUAUGGGAUGGGGUCGCGUCCUAUCAGGUAGUCGGCGGGGUAACGGCCCACCGAGCCUACGACGGGUAGCCGGCCUGAGAGGGCGACCGGCCACAUUGGGACUGAGAUACGGCCCAGACUCCUACGGGAGGCAGCAGUGGGGAAUAUUGCACAAUGGGCGCAAGCCUGAUGCAGCGACGCCGCGUGCGGGAUGACGGCCUUCGGGUUGUAAACCGCUUUUGACUGGGAGCAAGCCCUUCGGGGUGAGUGUACCUUUCGAAU
Molecule: ribosomal RNA, 453 nt
Filed under: uncultured bacterium
Lineage: Bacteria
Description: bacterial SSU rRNA
Rfam family: Bacterial small subunit ribosomal RNA
Source: RNAcentral